Molecule: long non-coding RNA, 991 nt
Filed under: Mytilus galloprovincialis (Mediterranean mussel)
Lineage: Eukaryota; Metazoa; Mollusca; Bivalvia; Mytilida; Mytilidae
Source: RNAcentral
GUGCCUUCAUCCGCGCCCUUCUGCCCUGACGUCUUUUUCCAAAAUUAUCUUGUGCCGUUUUGGUAAAAUUUUGUUUCAUCGAUUUCUGAUCUCCAAGUUAAUUACAUAUAUGACACCUGUGUGAUUGCCCCCAGGUUAAUCAUGUCAUUACAAUCAAUUACAAUGAUAAAGACUUCAAAGGUGUUAAUAACUAGGUAAUUUAAUUAGGACAAUGUAUCUUUUUGUCAUACUUUUGAUGAAUGUGUCAGCGAGUGUGUUUAGCUUGGGUCGGCAUUUUCGAUCUCCAAGUCACAAUGGAAGAGCGUAUAUAAAUGAAGACUUUCAUGACUUUAGAAUUGAAUUUAAGUCAUCAAAAUAAAACUAUGCCUUUACAGAAAUGCCUUCCAUCUCAACUUGUUGUUAGCGACAAGCACAGUUUUUAAUUAACCCAAACGUGGUGGAAAUUGAUUUUGGAGUUACUUCCCCUGUUUUAGCUUAUUACAAAUUUGUGCUCUAAAAAUAUUAUCUAGUAUCAAAAAAAGGAAUAAAUUACCAAUUGAAUAUAUAAUAACAUAAUAAUGUUACCUUAAAGAUAUUAACUGUCUUUGAACAUAUUAAAAAAUAUAUAUUGCAAUUUCUACUUGAUAAUUAUACUUUUAGCAAUCCAUGUUCUAAACAUUGUUAAAUUAGUAAUGCUCUCAAUUUCAGAUGAUAUGUAUUAAAAGCUAUAAUUCCUAUAUAGAUAAAAAAAAACACAUAUUCUUUGAUAAUGGGUAGAGUGAAGUUAAACUGUAAAAACAUAAUAUGUUGAUGAAGAUGUACUAUAUCAUUCAUAACUACACAAACAAUGAAAUAAAGACUAUAGUUGAAAAGCAUCUUUAUUUUAAAAAAAAAACAUAUACAGUAAAAAAAAAAAGAGAUUCGUUAACUCGUGAUACACACAGAAACGUAGACAAAAAAAUGAGCAGUGCCUUUUCUUAUCAUAAAAAGUGCCCUGCCCUCCACUGGCACC